RNAcentral lists this ribosomal RNA (468 nucleotides) under uncultured bacterium. RNAcentral describes it as "partial 16S ribosomal RNA". It matches the Rfam family "Bacterial small subunit ribosomal RNA", at positions 28 to 507 of the family's 1533-position model. The record is from RNAcentral.
GACGAACGCUGGCGGCGUGCUUAACACAUGCAAGUCGAACGGAAAGGCCCUGCUUUGUUGCGGUGCUCGAGUUGCGAACGGGGGAGUAACCCGUGGGUAACCUGCCCUUGACUGUGGGAUAACUUCAUGAAACUGGGUGUAAUACCGGAUAGGAGCUCCUGCUGCAUGGUGGGGGCUGGAAGGUUUAGGCGGUUGGUGAUGGACUCGCGGCUUAUCGGAUUGUUGGUGGGGUAGUGGCUUAGCAAGGCUUGGACGGGUAGCCGGGCUGAGAGGGGGACCGGCCACACUGGGCCUGAGCUACGGCACGGACUAGAACGGGAGGCAGCGGUGGGGAAUAUUGCACUAUGGGCGGAAGCCUGACGCAGCAACGCCGCGUGCGGGAUGACGGCCUUGGGGUUGUAAAGCGCUUUCGCCUGUGACGAAGCGUGAGUGACGGUAAUGGGUAAAGAAGCACCGGCUAACUACGUG